Molecule: ribosomal RNA, 250 nt
Filed under: Thraustochytriidae sp.
Lineage: Eukaryota; Bigyra; Thraustochytrida; Thraustochytriidae
Description: Thraustochytriaceae sp. partial small subunit ribosomal RNA
Rfam family: Eukaryotic small subunit ribosomal RNA
Source: RNAcentral
UAGUACGUGCUAUGGUAAGAUAGUAUGAGACUUCUUAGAGGGCCACUUCGGGUUUCCCGAAAGGAAGUCUGUGGCAAUAACAGGUCUGUGAUGCCCUUAGAUAUUCUGGGCCGCACGCGCGCUACACUGACGACUUCAACUAGUUUUUCGGCAUUCCCAAAUUUCCUUGGCCGGAAGGUCUCGGUAAUCUUUUAAAAGGUCGUCGUGAUGGGGCUAGAUUCUUGCAAUUAUUAAUCUCCAACGAGGAACC